GAUGAACGCUAGCGGCAGGCCUAACACAUGCAAGUCGAGGGGUAGCAGGAUUAAGCUUGCUUAAUUGCUGACGACCGGCGCACGGGUGCGUAACGCGUAUGCAACCUACCUUAUACUGGGGUAUAGCCCGGAGAAAUUCGGAUUAAUCCCCCAUAGUACUAAUGAAUCGCAUGGUUUAUUAGUUAAAGCAUUGCGUUAUAAAAUGGGCAUGCGUCCUAUUAGCUAGAUGGUGAGGUAACGGCUCACCAUGGCUACGAUAGGUAGGGGGUCUGAGAGGGUGGUCCCCCAAAAUGGUACUGAGACACGGACCAGACUGCUACGGGAGGCAGCAGUGAGGAAUAUUGGUCAAUGGGCGCAAGCCUGAACCAGCCAUGCCGCGUGCAGGAAGAAUGCCCUAUGGGUUGUAAACUGCUUUUAUUUGGGAAUAAACCUCUUUACGUGUAGAGAGCUGAAGGUACCAAAUGAAUAAGCACCGGCUAACUCCGUGCCAGCCGCCGCAGUAA
RNAcentral lists this ribosomal RNA (503 nucleotides) under uncultured bacterium. Its description in RNAcentral is "partial 16S ribosomal RNA". It matches the Rfam family "Bacterial small subunit ribosomal RNA", at positions 28 to 523 of the family's 1533-position model. The record is from RNAcentral.